Molecule: ribosomal RNA, 432 nt
Filed under: uncultured bacterium
Lineage: Bacteria
Description: partial 16S ribosomal RNA
Rfam family: Bacterial small subunit ribosomal RNA
Source: RNAcentral
ACGAACGCUGGCGGCAUGCCUCACACCUGCAAGUCGAACGAGACCUUCGGGUCUAGUGGCGCACGGGUGCGUAACGCGUGGGAACCUGCCCUUAGGUUCGGAAUAACUCCCCGUAAGGGGUGCUAAUACCGGAUAAUGUCUUCGGACCAAAGAUUUAUCGCCUUUGGAUGGGCCCGCGUUGGAUUAGCUAGUUGGUGGGGUAAAAGCCUACCAAGGCGACGAUCCAUAGCUGGUCUGAGAGGAUGAUCAGCCACACUGGGACUGAGACACGGCCGAGACUCCUACGGGAGGGAGGAGUGGGGAAUAUUGGACAAUGGGGGAAAGCCUGAUCAAGCAAUGCCGCGUGAGUGAUGAAGGCCUUAGGGUUGUAAAGCUCUUUUACACGGGAUGAUAAUGACAGUACCGGGAGAAUAAGCUCCGGCUAACUACGUG